RNAcentral lists this long non-coding RNA (6294 nucleotides) under Daucus carota (carrot). RNAcentral describes it as "long non-coding RNA (DCAR_LNC006290)". Lineage: Eukaryota; Viridiplantae; Streptophyta; Magnoliopsida; Apiales; Apiaceae. The record is from RNAcentral.
AAUCUUCCUCCCGAAAGAGGCCCAAUACGAUGAGGCCUAGUCUUGGGCCUUGUAGACUCUCGAGCACCCAAGACUUACCCCAAAUGCAUGGACACUACUCUACUCCCCGACAGGGACAACCCGCCAGACUACAGAGAUAGAGCCUUCCAGGGCGCAUCUUCUCUUUAACCUCUACCUCCCAAGGAGGACAACUCCUCAGACUACAAGGUAGGGCCUUUGAUGAUUCAACAGUAGGAUUUACUUAUGAUUAAGGGCGUCCCCCUAAACAAGAAGUAUCUCCUUCUGUUCUUCUAAAUUACUGUUAACUAGACUGUCCUCGGCAGAGUGGCGCGCCCAGAAGAUAGGGCGUGCCCUAUCUUUUAACAGGGUCACUUUGAAGUCGUGUUGAUCUUGAUUCUCCUGGCCCAAAUAGGCCUUCUUUUGUGGGCCCGGCCCAUUUAGUUAAUCUUCAUAAUUUUGCACCCUAAGUGGUCUCUUCUGACUAGCAUGACUAGUUUGGGGUUGGUCCAAUUUUGAAGCUGUCAGCCCAUCCUAGUCUUCUUUCAUGGGUUUGGCCCAUGAAGUCGGUCUUCAUAUAAAUCAUUUACUUAUGAUGCUGAAAGGUGGCUUCUCCCUCCAAUCAGGGCGCGCCCUCAUGGAGGUCCGUCUGGGCGUGGUCAGAUACGUGGGCGCGCCCACAUAUUGCCAAGCCCAAUCUUGAGUGUGUCAGUCCAUAUCUUCACCUUCUAUACGGGCCUAGCCCACUAGUAAAGUUCAUGUCGAAUUUUGGGUAUAACAACUACCCCCGAUUCCGACGUGUAUUGAAGAUACAGGUUGGAAUCAUAAUUUAUCCAAAAUUCUUCUUCUCUGAUGAGCUGUUUAUAUAAGUCACACGCCUUCCUUGAAGAGUUGUUCGUAGGGUUGGACAACAUUAUUGUAUGUUUCUUAAUCAUAUUGCACUGAGCAGGUCCGACCUCUGACAUAUAAUUUAGAGGAAGUCUGGUUCGACGUAUUACCUGGGGCAAGUCUGGUUCGAGUAAUAUUUAGCAUGGAUCAUGGAUGGUAUGUAGAGCAGAUCAUUGAUGGUUGAUGAUCAUGUGAGGAUGAAUGAAUAUGCUGCCAAGAUAAAUGAAGUACGACUCUGUAGAUAUAAGGAUGCGUCGUUGAAGAUUGGAGAUCAUGCACUUGGAGAAUGUUGAGAAUUGAUGAAGACGGUGUUAUGAAGGUGAAAAUAUUUUGCGACGUAAUAUAUUCACUCUGCAUUUCAUGACGCGCCUUGUUAGGCUAGAUGUUUUGGGAGUGUCCUCUUUGAUGGAGGCAACUUGAUGGCUUAGUACUCCUACUAUGCUGCAAAUAGUCAUAAUGUUGACACCAACGAAUCCUUACCUGACCACAAUGAAUGUUCCUGUGGUGAAUGUAGUCCAGCCAUAUUGCGGUUGCUUUGGUAUGGCGCGUCUACAUCAUUUCAUUUUUUUUUAUCAAAAUCGAUCAGCCCACCAUCAUGUUCAUAUAUCACAAUAUCUUUCGUAUUCUUGCAUCAAUCACUACUUGAAUAAAGUCCUGGUUUGAAGUAAGUCGUCUUAUGUAACCAUGCAGCCACGUAGAUAGCAACUGACCCCUAAAAUUUUGUUAAUUGACUUGCGUUGGACUCUGAACUAUAAUAUAGGCCUGCUCCUUCACUUAGUAUCAUAUUUUGAUAAAUUUUUAAUUUAAGAACCCAUAUAUGUCUCACCUUGUCAUCAUAAUAUCUUUCUUCAUCGAGAUCCUGGGACAGCAUGAGCACCCAUUUAUUGUCUUGAGCUCUGGACGCGCCUAAUAUUUAAGCAAAGAUGAGUUUCAAGUUCUCGAGUGCUCCUUCAUAUUCUGAAAUAAGUCUUGCCUCCUUUAUUUAUUUCUUUUCAAUAUUUGAUGUCACCAUCGCACGUUAUUGUACUGCAUGCUGCUUUUCAUCUUUAACUUCACAUAACCGUAAUUAGCUUGACUCCUAGGCGCGCCGCAACUUAUAUAUUUGAUCGCUCCUCCAGGCGCGUCCACAUAAUAUAGUAACCGGAAGGAAGUCAAGAAUGAAUACAAUUCGAUAGACAUGCGGGCUUGCUGGUUUUCUAAAGAGAGAUGAGAGCAUAUAUGAUGAUUUCGGAGCAGGCCAUAGUUCUGCUAGCAUCUCUGUUGGCUUCGGUACCCGAAGUUCUUGAGCCUUAACUGGGCACGCCUCACAUUUUUAAACAGCUAAGUACAGCCUGCAAGUAAUGACUCCCGAUACGGUCUUCUCCUCUCUCUUUUUGUUCAAUGCUUUCUAUCAAAUGGUUCCAAGGCGACUCGCUGCAUUGGCUGGUACCGAACCUGUUCAUCUUUGCUCUCGGAACUAAACAAACCAUCACCACGGUUUGUUGACUUCAUAGAAUGAGCCUGGACACAAAGCAUAUAGUGUCCGCCGGUUUUAAGAAAAUACCGAACGUUCAAAUAUGCCGUGUGGACCUUUCGUGGACGAUCAGGAGCAGCAAACAUUACAUCCACCAUAUUAAUAAGCAUGCGGUAAUAUUUGGCUGUUUUUGUCAAGCUUGUUCCUGGCGCGCCAUCUUUUCCCGUCACAUACACGAUGAAGCAAGUACUCUUUUGUUUUCAUAAUAAUAAACAAUAGUUUCCUUCAUUCCUGCAGUUAUAUAAUAGUUCUUGACAAAAAUGGCGCGCCUUAACUCAACAUAAUCUUCUCUUUCUUGCUUCGACUGCUCUAACUUUGCAUAGCCACUUGCUGAGGUAUGUUAUAGUUUUGGCUAAUUAGGUACUCUCCGUUGAUUUGAUUCCAUGCAAAAUAACCUUGAAUCAACUUUAUAUUUCCUCAACAUUAUAAUUUCUCAUUAGUUCCAUGCGGGACCAACAUAUUUGAUGUGUUGUCAUGUCAUCAAUACUUGUCAAGAUAUAGUGUAGCUUUAGAUCUCAAAUAAUCAUGAGGGAGCACUAUCUUUUGUCUUUAAACAACGGGGCCCAUCAACUUGCAUGCACCACAUAAUAAUCUCUCACACGUUUACUUACCUCCUGGCUUUUGAUAUUUAUAAUUUAAACUUGUGCUCCAUCUUCUUGGUGGCACCCACACAUCACAUGCAUCUUCAAAAAAACAUUAUAGUAUUCCACUGCCAAGUACCAACUCCUGUAUGUUACUUCCACCAGAAUCUCACCAUCUUUAUGUACUUCUUCUUCUGCAAUGACCGCAUGCCAAUUUCAUAUUUUUAUUUUUAACUGAAUCGUUCCUUGGAGGCGCGCCUUUCAUUUUUCUUCUUCAACAAAAAUCUUCCAUUAUUUCUUUCUUUACUUUAUCUGUUCUGUUUUGCUUUGUUUUUACUUGAACCACGUCUUCAAAUUUGCUUAAUUUUCCUUUGUAUGAGAAUGCAGGAGGUCCCACUAAUUUGCAUGGCCUCUACUAAAUCCAUGACAUGGUAACUCUCGCUCCCUUCUUUUGUAUACUUCCGUUCCGUGCCCUCCGGUCUUCAGUAUAUUGUACUCAAGUGAAUUUCUUGUGAUGGUCCCCCACAUAACAAGCUUGUAUAAUUUUUUAUUCGCCAACACCUACUUGCAUCUCUUAUUUUUAUUUUCUUCAGCCGAAUACAUAUAAUAUAAUUGUAUUUUGAAGCUUUGACCUUGACUUAGGGCGCGUCCAGGACCAAAGCCGCUCUCCAAGAUAUCUUGAGCUAAUCAUCUCCUACUUGUAUUCUGGAAUUUAUUUUGUGUGUUUGACCUGUAUCAUCAGGCUUGCCUCACGUCUUCGACCUGUGUCUCCGGGCUUGUCUUGUGUCUUCGACCUGUGUCUUCGGGCUUGUCUUGUGUCUUCGGCUUGUAUCCUGAAACUUGUCCUGGAUCUCCGACCUGUCCUCGGAGCUUGUCCUGCGUCUUCAACCUGUACCUCGAUGCGUGUCCAGGGCUUCAGCCUUCAGCCUGUAUCCUAGAGCUUGUGGUAGGUCUUCCCUCAUAAUCCUCUGCUGUAUAUAUCUCCGAGACGAGCUUUUCCCUGCAGAUGCUCCAAGCGAUGUGUCCCUCCAAAGAUUUCGCAUAUGAUUCGAUAGGGUUCUUCCCAGUUAACACCGGACACUCCAUGACUUGACAAGUUCAUUCCUGGCAUCAUCCUGCAUAGCACUAGGUCCCCCGUCUUCAAAUACUUGACCUUCACCUUGCUAUUGUAGAAUCGAGAUGUUCUCUGUUGAUAUGCCGCCUUCCUGAUUCGUGACUCUCUUCUGACUUCUUUCACCAUAUCGGGGUGAAGCCUCUGAUUAACUUCAUUUGCCUCCUGCUCGAAGUUGUCUCUCCUUAAAGAACUUGCUUCAACCUCGACUGGAACCAUUGCCUCAGGAUCUUUAGAGCAAGUGAACUACCCCCCGAGUGAUUGCCACAUAUUUCUUCAUGUACUUCCCUCAUCUACCAGGAAAACAAUGGCGUUGGUGUGUAGUUUCUUCUAUUGGUGGUAUUGUCUCUGUUUGGAUUUUGAUGUCUGCUUCUAUGCUCCGGGCUGAAAGAUUGUUCUCGUCUCCUCUUCUUGAUCUUUGAAGGACUUUGAGAUUCAUUCUUCUCGCUUUCAGCCAAGGAUUAUUCCACGUUCUUAUACGCUUCGGCCCGAGCGUAAAGGUCAGCCAGGGACUUGGGUCGUUGACUUGUAGAUGAUUCCAAAAGUCUGUUCCCACUCUGAGACCUGUAUCCAAGAAACUCUUCUGCAUCUCGACAUUGAACCUGUCAAGAAACUCAACAACAUCGGAGUUGCCAUGAAAUUUGAGAUCUGAUGUGUGUUCUUGAUGGGUGAAGGAGCCUUGAUGACUUCGGCAAAGACUGGUUCUUGACCGGAGGUGACGUCUUUCCUUCAUCAAAGUGUGUCGAGAUCCUCCUGAGAGUGUUGAUGUUGAUAGCACCGAUCCCUAAAAUUUUCAGGAUAUUAGGUUGGACAAGCGUUGUAGAUGGGAUUCCCCCUGUAACUAUGAGGUCGCUUGGCGGCGGAGCAAGGAGAUUCGACGAAGUGGCAAGAUUUGACGGAGCAAGGAGAUUCGACAACGGAACAAGAUUUGAUGAGGGAGCAUGAGAUGAUGACGGAGUGAGAAGAUUGGCCGAUGUCUGUUGUAGGGUUGUGUGGUUGAUCUGUGCCUCUAUGAGAUUGAAGUGAAGCGCAUCUGUGCUAUGUUAGAAGGAGGUGCACCUCCUAACAUACUUCCUCCCUGCAAAAGAUACAAUCGACACAAUAUAUCGUAUACGAGUAUCAAGAAGAGUAUUUACCUUACAGCGCGCCCGGUCAGGGGGAGGCGCGCUUCGAUCUAUUUUGUCAGCCGCGGGACUUGCUUCCUUCCGACGCCUUUAGAAAGUCUUCGAAAUCCGCAAAUCGUGCUUCCCUCAUAUGUUGGCCUCUUGAACCUUCGCUCUGAUCUUGCCUUCAUCUUUCAACCUUGCCUUGUUCAAUAUCGAUAACAAACAACCAUGCUUACCGUCGUCUUUUCCCUCUGAACAUACUUCUCCAUCGAACCCGUCUUCUCCUUCAUAACGGUCUUCUCCUUCGAUCCCAUCGCCUUCUCCCUUGAAGGGACUUCUCAGAUAAUUCAUCGUUACUCACCAAGAUUGGCGGCGACUUGGCGACCGGCCAUUGUAGACUGACGUUGUCUCCAUCUGUUAUCACAAUUGCCUGUUCUUGGGGGGUGUUCCCGACCGUGGUGUUGUCUCGCCGUGGUUCGACAUCUUUCUCCUUGAUGGAAAAUCUUGAACUAGCCCCUCCUACCAGCGCCAAUUUGUUAACGGAGAAAACUGGUAGGUUAACAAAGCUGAGGUUCGCGGCGUGGAUCAAGAUUCUUGUUGGCGAGAAUAUAGGAAGUGGUUAGUUGUUUGUUAUGGAGGUGGCUGCAAUUGUAAGCAAAGGGUUCAAGAUUGCUAACUGGAAUAGCUCUCAAGAAUGAUCGAUGCUUACAAUCUGCCUACGUACCCCUAUUUAUAGGGGAUCAAGCCGGCACGUAGUUCUUUCUCCUAAGAGACCCAUGUGGGCUGGGCCUCCCCUUCUAGAAUCUUCCUCCCGAAAGAGGCCCAAUACGAUGAGGCCUAGUCUUGGGCCUUGUAGACUCUCGAGCACCCAAGACUUACCCCAAAUGCAUGGACACUACUCUCCUCCCCGACAGGGACAACCCGCCAGACUACAGAGAUAGAGCCUUCCAGGGCGCAUCUUCUCUUUAACCUCUACCUCCCAAGGAGGACAACUCCUCAGACUACAAGGUAGGGCCUUUGAUGAUUCAACAGUAGGAUUUACUUAUGCUUAAGGGCGUCCCCCUAAACAAGAAGUAUCUCCUUCUGUUCUUCUAAAUU